GAUGAACGCUGGCGGCGUGCCUAAUACAUGCAAGUCGAGCGAACAGACGAGGAGCUUGCUCCUUUGACGUUAGCGGCGGACGGGUGAGUAACACGUGGGUAACCUACCUAUAAGACUGGGAUAACUUCGGGAAACCGGAGCUAAUACCGGAUAAUAUUUCGAACCGCAUGGUUCGAUAGUGAAAGAUGGCUUUGCUAUCACUUAUAGAUGGACCUGCGCCGUAUUAGCUAGUUGGUAAGGUAACGGCUUACCAAGGCAACGAUACGUAGCCGACCUGAGAGGGUGAUCGGCCACACUGGAACUGAGACACGGUCCAGACUCCUACGGGAGGCAGCAGUAGGGAAUCUUCCGCAAUGGGCGAAAGCCUGACGGAGCAACGCCGCGUGAGUGAUGAAGGUCUUCGGAUCGUAAAACUCUGUUAUUAGGGAAGAACAAACGUGUAAGUAACUGUGAACGUCUUGACGGUACCUAAUCAGAAAGCCACGGCUAACUACGUG
RNAcentral lists this ribosomal RNA (497 nucleotides) under uncultured bacterium. Its description in RNAcentral is "partial 16S ribosomal RNA". It matches the Rfam family "Bacterial small subunit ribosomal RNA", at positions 28 to 507 of the family's 1533-position model. The record is from RNAcentral.